AAGACAAAUCAGCAUAAAAGAGUACCACGGAGCACGAGAAACUUUGUGGGAAUAUGGGAGGACCACCUCCUAAGGCUAAAUACUACUUGGUGACCGAUAGUGAACGAGUACCGUGAGGGAAAGGUGAAAAGAACCCCGGGAGGGGAGUGAAAUAGAAUCUGAAACCUAAUGUUUACAAGCAGCGAAAGAGGACUUGAUCCUCGAUCGUGUACUUUUUGUAGAACGGGCCAGCGAGUUAUGAUAAUUAGCAAGGUUAAGAUAUGAAGUAUCGAAGCCGAAGCGAAAGCGAGUCUUAAUAGGGCGAAAGUUAGUUGUCAUAGACCCGAAACCGUGUGAUCUAUCCAUGGGCAGAGUGAAGUUCAAGUAAAAUUGAAUGGAGGCUCGAACCGGGUAACGUUUAAAAGUUAUCGGAUGACCUGUGGAUAGGGGUGAAAAGCCAAACGAACACGGAGAUAGCUGGUUCUCCUCGAAAUAGCUUUAGGGCUAGCCUCUAGUGAGUAUCUGAUAAGGGGGUAGAGCACUGAAUGGUUGCGGGGCGCAUAGCGUUACCAAUACCUAUCAAACUCCGAAUACCAAAUCAGACACUAGGGAGUCAGACAGUGUGGGAUGAGCUUCAUUGUCGAAAGGGAAACAGCCCAGACCACCAGCUAAGGUCCCAAAAUUAUAGUUAAGUGGGAAAGGAUGUGGAGUUACUCAGACAACUAGGAUGUUGGCUUAGAAGCAGCCAUACAUUUAAAGAGUGCGUAAUAGCUCACUAGUCAAGUGACUCUGCGCCGAAGAUAACCGGGGCUAAACUAUAUACCGAAGCUGUGGGAUGUAUUAAUACAUCGGUAGAGGAGCAAUGUGUAAGGGAUGAAGCAUAAGGUGUAAGCCAAUGUGGACUUUACAGAAGAGAGAAUGCUGGCAUGAGUAGCGAGAGGUGAGUGAGAAUCUCACCCGUCGAAAACCCAAGGAUUCCUGAGGAAGGCUCGUCCACUCAGGGUAAGUCGGGACCUAAGGCGAGGCUGAAAAGCGUAGUCGAUGGACAACAGGUUGAGAUUCCUGUACCGAUAUAUGUUGUUAAAAAGUAAGUGGGGACGCAGUAGGAUAGUAGAAGCGCCCAGUUGGUGAGGCGUGCAAGCACAAAGACUGUAGUAUAGGCAAAUCCGUACUACGUGAAGGUUGAAGUGUGAUGCGGAUCGAAAAACAAGUAGAGAAGGAUAUGACUCCACACUGCCAAGAAAAGCCACUAUCAAGAUAUAUAUCGCCCGUACCGUAAACCGACACAGGUAGGUGAGGAGAGAAUCCUAAGACGAGCGGAAGAACCUUUGUUAAGGAACUCGGCAAAAUGACCCCGUAACUUCGGGAGAAGGGGAGCCACAGCAAUGUGGCCGCAGUGAAAAGGCCCAAGCGACUGUUUACCAAAAACACAAGUCUCUGCGAAGUCGAAAGACGAAGUAUAGGGGCUGACACCUGCCCGGUGCUGGAAGGUUAAGGGGAAGAGUUAGCGCAAGCGAAGCUUAGAACUGAAGCCCCAGUAAACGGCGGCCGUAACUAUAACGGUCCUAAGGUAGCGAAAUUCCUUGUCGGGUAAGUUCCGACCCGCACGAAAGGUGUAACGAUUUGGGCACUGUCUCAACAAAGGAUCCGGUGAAAUUGUAGUAGCGGUAAAGAUGCCGCUUACCCACGACAGGACGGAAAGACCCCGUGGAGCUUUACUGUAGGUUGACAUUGGAUUUUGAGGUUAAAUGUACAGAAUAGGUGGGAGGCUAAGAAGUUAGUACGCCAGUAUUAAUGGAGCCGCCGUUUGGAUACCACUCUUUUAAGCUUAGAAUUCUAACCUACUCCCUUGAAUCAGGGAGAGGGACACUGUCAGUCGGGCAGUUUGACUGGGGCGGUCGCCUCCGAAAGAGUAACGGAGGCGUUCAAAGGUUCCCUCAGCACGGAUGGAAAUCGUGCG
Ribosomal RNA from Anaerosphaera aminiphila DSM 21120, 1939 nucleotides. It matches the Rfam family "Bacterial large subunit ribosomal RNA", at positions 391 to 2344 of the family's 2925-position model. NCBI's taxonomy places the organism in Bacteria, Bacillati, Bacillota, Tissierellia, Tissierellales, Peptoniphilaceae. The record is from Rfam.